Molecule: long non-coding RNA, 269 nt
Organism: Cyprinus carpio (common carp)
Lineage: Eukaryota; Metazoa; Chordata; Actinopteri; Cypriniformes; Cyprinidae
Source: Ensembl
AUGGUAUUUAAGUGUCCGGGCCACUCCUGUUCCUCCUCAUUCCUUUCGCUGGCAGACAGGACAAGGGGAAAGUAUUCAUCAUGGAGAACAGAACCACAGACCUGCUUUAUAAAUGCAUGGUCAGGUUUGCUUAUGCAGGUCUUCAUCAAAUCAGGCUCUGUCACACAUGAAGUUUGGUCCCAAAGUGGUAACCAAGGCAACAGCUGGAGGCGGGGUGAGGUCUUCAUAGGAAUCCGUCAUAACUCAUAACAUCCAGGUGGGUUUUCGAG